UCCUGGUUAGCUCAGUUGAUGGAUCGCUCCACCUGUAAUGGAGAGGUCCCGGGUUCGAUACCCGGACCAGGCG
Molecule: non-coding RNA, 73 nt
Organism: Ixodes scapularis (black-legged tick)
Lineage: Eukaryota; Metazoa; Arthropoda; Arachnida; Ixodida; Ixodidae
Source: Rfam